CCUUUUGAGUAUAAUUUAAGGUCGGGCCUGCCCAAUGAUUAAUUAAAUGGCCGCGGUAUAUUGACCGUGCAAAGGUAGCAUAAUCAUUAGUUUUUUAAUUGAAAGCUUGUAUGAAGGGUUUAAUGAAAAAAAUACUGUCUCUAUUUAAAUUUAUUAAAAUUUUAUAUUUAAGUUAAAAAGCUUAAAUUUAUAUUGAAGACGAGAAGACCCUAUAGAGUUUAAUAUUUUAUAUAAAAAUAAAGUAUUAAGGAUUUUAAAUAAUUUUUAUAUAAAAUAUUUAAUUGGGGUGAUUGAAAAAUUAGUUUAACUUUUUUUGUAUUUUUAUAUUGAUUAAUAAAUUUGAGAUCCUUUUUUAAGAUUAAAAGAUAAAAUUACCUUAGGGAUAACAGCGUAAUUUUUUUUAGAGUUCUUAUCGAAAAAAAAGAUUGCGACCUCGAUGUUGGAUUAAAAUUAAUCAUUGGUGUAGAAGCUAAUGAACUAGGUCUGUUCGACCUUUAAAUUUUUACAUGAUCUGAGUUUAAACCGGUGUAAG
This 532-nucleotide ribosomal RNA is filed under the name Acalles almeriaensis. RNAcentral's name for it is "partial 16S ribosomal RNA". It matches the Rfam family "Bacterial large subunit ribosomal RNA", at positions 1862 to 2625 of the family's 2925-position model. Lineage: Eukaryota; Metazoa; Arthropoda; Insecta; Coleoptera; Curculionidae. The record is from RNAcentral.